AGUGAACGCUGGCGGUAGGCCUAACACAUGCAAGUCGAACGGCAGCACAGUAAGAGCUUGCUCUUACGGGUGGCGAGUGGCGGACGGGUGAGGAAUACAUCGGAAUCUACUUUUUCGUGGGGGAUCACGUAGGGAAACUUACGCUAAUACCGCAUACGACCUACGGGUGAAAGCAGGGGAUCUUCGGACCUUGCGCGAUUGAAUGGGCCGAUGUCGGAUUAGCUAGUUGGCGGGGUAAAGGCCCACCAAGGCGACGAUCCGUAGCUGGUCUGAGAGGAUGAUAAGCGACACUGGAACUGAGACACGGUCCAGACUCCUACGGGAGGCAGCAGUGGGGAAUAUUGGACAAUGGGCGCAAGCAUGAUCCAGCCAUACCGCGUGGGUGAAGAAGGCCUUCGGGUUGUAAAGCCCUUUUGUUGGGAAAGAAAAGCAGCAGGUUAAUACCCCGCUGUUCUGACGGUACCCAAAGAAUAAGCACCGGCUAACUUCGUG
RNAcentral lists this ribosomal RNA (492 nucleotides) under uncultured bacterium. RNAcentral's name for it is "partial 16S ribosomal RNA". It matches the Rfam family "Bacterial small subunit ribosomal RNA", at positions 29 to 507 of the family's 1533-position model. The record is from RNAcentral.